AUCCAUCGUCGGGGCGACAAUGCAAAAAGGAGGGGUAGAUUGUGGCAGGAUGAAUGUUAUCCCUCGGUCCAACCCACUUUCAGCCUGGCCCAUUAGGGGGCGCUAGUAUAAAUAGUGGCCAUUUGAGUGUCCCUGGAUCGCUUACCUGUGAUCUCCUUCUUGGUCACCUGACUUCCUGUUGGUGUUGCUGAGAUUAGUUACUCUUCUGAAGCCUCCAUCGCAGCUGGUAGGUGUUUACUCAUUGUAGUGUGUAUAUUACCUUGCUUGGUGGUAAACAGCUAUUGUUUGUAGGUCGUAGCUGUAGAAGCCUCCUCUGAGCCAUUCCGCUUACGUUUUAUGACACGGCUUACUUGGUAUGUAAUCAACUUCUGUUACGCUCUCUGCCUUCUGUUGUUCUUUUAUAGUAAUUAUUUAUUAUGCUUUGCAGGAAGUGUGGGCCUUAGUGUUGCACCAAGCUACGCAAACUGAAGGGCUGCUGCUUUGCUGUGAUGCUUUGCUUUGUUUUACUUUAUUUUUACUGUCUGUUCCGGCUGCGAAGUUUGCUUCCUACUGCUGCCAGCCUUUAAAGUGGACGUCGGCGUUGACAACGGCCAUAUGCAUGCCACGCGGGUCGGCUGGCGCGCAUACUGAUUGACUGACUGGAUAAUUAACUUACAGCCGUGCAGACGGCAAGUUGGAGCAAUACGGCGAUUCCGUUUGCUCCAUAUUUUAGAGUUUUACCCAGAUUGUAUGUUGUUUUACUGUAUUUGAUUUGUAGUUUGGCUUUUUGUUACGCCACUGGUGGGAGGCCCUUUUUCUAGCUGUAGAUCACCAGUGUGGUCCUGCAGUUGGGUUAUCCCCCAGCGCUGCAUAUUAGUUUUGUUGCAAUAUAUUAAAAUUUUCUUUGUUUCUUUUAUUCAGAUGCGGAGCGCCGACGUGGAGGAGACCAGGGUGCCUUGGUGGUGGGAUCCUCUGAGUGUACACACCUGCCUUGUUUAAUUUAUUAGUGUGAGUGUGUGAUAGUGUGCUGCACUUGUGUCUUGGUGUAUUUUCUUCUUUUUUUUGAGUUUGUGUGUGGCAUCCCUGCCCUCCACUGGAUAAAAGCAAAGCAGCAGCUACUUUGGUGUGGGAUUCCACAGCUGUGUUACAGAGAUGGAGGAAGAGUUACAGGAACUCAGGGACUUGAUCGCGCAGCUGAAAGCAGACAAUGAGAGGCUGCGUCAGGAGAGGGCUGUUGGGUCAGAUGCGGAGCGCCGACGUGGAGGAGACCAGGGUGCCUUGGUGGUGGGAUCCUCUGAGUGUACACACCUGCCUUGUUUAAUUUAUUAGUGUGAGUGUGUGAUAGUGUGCUGCACUUGUGUCUUGGUGUAUUUUCUUCUUUUUUUUGAGUUUGUGUGUGGCAUCCCUGCCCUCCACUGGUAAGCCUCAGCUCUGAAUACCUUUUUUAGCAUACUUAUACACUGAUAUUUAUGACUGUGCUUUUAAAUGUUUUAAUUAAUAAAUUGUCAAUUUAUUUUAUCAUUGAACCUCGUCUCUGUAUUGAGUAUAACAAACCUAACUGCCUUCGUAGUGAUUAGUGUUGCCUCCAGUAUUCUCUGGGUGAAAUUCCCAGGGUGGCGUUGUCUUUUUAAAACUGUGAAGAGUAAUUACUUUAUUUCCACCUCGUGU
Pelmatolapia mariae (spotted tilapia) is the source of this 1647-nucleotide long non-coding RNA. RefSeq lists it as uncharacterized. The record is from RefSeq and is a predicted model, not a curated record. The transcript has 3 exons. NCBI's taxonomy places the organism in Eukaryota, Metazoa, Chordata, Actinopteri, Cichliformes, Cichlidae.